RNAcentral lists this ribosomal RNA (1707 nucleotides) under Salmonella enterica subsp. enterica serovar Kentucky. RNAcentral's name for it is "bacterial LSU rRNA". It matches the Rfam family "Bacterial large subunit ribosomal RNA", at positions 1252 to 2925 of the family's 2925-position model. Lineage: Bacteria; Pseudomonadati; Pseudomonadota; Gammaproteobacteria; Enterobacterales; Enterobacteriaceae. The record is from RNAcentral.
GAAGGUGGCCUGUGAGGGUUGCUGGAGGUAUCAGAAGUGCGAAUGCUGACAUAAGUAACGAUAAAGCGGGUGAAAAGCCCGCUCGCCGGAAGACCAAGGGUUCCUGUCCAACGUUAAUCGGGGCAGGGUGAGUCGACCCCUAAGGCGAGGCCGAAAGGCGUAGUCGAUGGGAAACGGGUUAAUAUUCCCGUACUUGGUGUUACUGCGAAGGGGGGACGGAGAAGGCUAUGUUGGCCGGGCGACGGUUGUCCCGGUUUAAGCGUGUAGGUGUGUGUUCCAGGUAAAUCCGGUUCACUUUAACACUGAGGCGUGAUGACGAGGCACUACGGUGCUGAAGCAACAAAUGCCCUGCUUCCAGGAAAAGCCUCUAAGCAUCAGGUAACAUCAAAUCGUACCCCAAACCGACACAGGUGGUCAGGUAGAGAAUACCAAGGCGCUUGAGAGAACUCGGGUGAAGGAACUAGGCAAAAUGGUGCCGUAACUUCGGGAGAAGGCACGCUGACACGUAGGUGAAGUGAUUUACUCACGGAGCUGAAGUCAGUCGAAGAUACCAGCUGGCUGCAACUGUUUAUUAAAAACACAGCACUGUGCAAACACGAAAGUGGACGUAUACGGUGUGACGCCUGCCCGGUGCCGGAAGGUUAAUUGAUGGGGUCAGCGCAAGCGAAGCUCCUGAUCGAAGCCCCGGUAAACGGCGGCCGUAACUAUAACGGUCCUAAGGUAGCGAAAUUCCUUGUCGGGUAAGUUCCGACCUGCACGAAUGGCGUAAUGAUGGCCAGGCUGUCUCCACCCGAGACUCAGUGAAAUUGAACUCGCUGUGAAGAUGCAGUGUACCCGCGGCAAGACGGAAAGACCCCGUGAACCUUUACUAUAGCUUGACACUGAACAUUGAGCCUUGAUGUGUAGGAUAGGUGGGAGGCUUUGAAGUGUGGACGCCAGUCUGCAUGGAGCCGACCUUGAAAUACCACCCUUUAAUGUUUGAUGUUCUAACGUGGACCCGUAAUCCGGGUUGCGGACAGUGUCUGGUGGGUAGUUUGACUGGGGCGGUCUCCUCCUAAAGAGUAACGGAGGAGCACGAAGGUUGGCUAAUCCUGGUCGGACAUCAGGAGGUUAGUGCAAUGGCAUAAGCCAGCUUGACUGCGAGCGUGACGGCGCGAGCAGGUGCGAAAGCAGGUCAUAGUGAUCCGGUGGUUCUGAAUGGAAGGGCCAUCGCUCAACGGAUAAAAGGUACUCCGGGGAUAACAGGCUGAUACCGCCCAAGAGUUCAUAUCGACGGCGGUGUUUGGCACCUCGAUGUCGGCUCAUCACAUCCUGGGGCUGAAGUAGGUCCCAAGGGUAUGGCUGUUCGCCAUUUAAAGUGGUACGCGAGCUGGGUUUAGAACGUCGUGAGACAGUUCGGUCCCUAUCUGCCGUGGGCGCUGGAGAACUGAGGGGGGCUGCUCCUAGUACGAGAGGACCGGAGUGGACGCAUCACUGGUGUUCGGGUUGUCAUGCCAAUGGCACUGCCCGGUAGCUAAAUGCGGAAGAGAUAAGUGCUGAAAGCAUCUAAGCACGAAACUUGCCCCGAGAUGAGUUCUCCCUGAGACUUUAGGUCUCCUGAAGGAACGUUGAAGACGACGACGUUGAUAGGCCGGGUGUGUAAGCGCAGCGAUGCGUUGAGCUAACCGGUACUAAUGAACCGUGAGGCUUAACCUUACAACGCCGAAG